UGAUAACAAACUCUUUGCUCACGCGAAGUUUUAAACCCACUGUGAACCAAAAAACCUUUAUAGCUUCGGUAGCCGUGGUGGUGGCUCUGCCCCUCAUGUCAGCCUACCGGUGGCACACAAACCAAACUCUUGUUUAAAUUUAGUCUGAAUCAAAAUUUUCGAAUGAAAAUCA
This 172-nucleotide unclassified non-coding RNA is filed under the name uncultured Ascomycota. RNAcentral describes it as "sequence contains ITS1". Lineage: Eukaryota; Fungi; Ascomycota. The record is from RNAcentral.